RNAcentral lists this non-coding RNA (30 nucleotides) under Mus musculus (house mouse). Lineage: Eukaryota; Metazoa; Chordata; Mammalia; Rodentia; Muridae. The record is from RNAcentral.
UGUGCUCCCACCGGGAAGAGUCCUUCAUGU